This 537-nucleotide ribosomal RNA is filed under the name uncultured fungus. Its description in RNAcentral is "eukaryotic LSU rRNA". It matches the Rfam family "Eukaryotic large subunit ribosomal RNA", at positions 40 to 592 of the family's 3401-position model. The record is from RNAcentral. Lineage: Eukaryota; Fungi.
AUAUUACUAAGCGGAGGAGAAGAAAUUAACAAAGAUUACCUUAGUAAGGGCGACUGAACCGGUAAAAGCUCAAAAUUGGAAUCGAUGAUUCAACGAAUCUUCGAAUUGUAAUCAGGUCCGCCUAAAUACGAACGAUUGCUCAAGUACGUCGAAACGUACGCCAGAGAGGGUGAAAGCCCCGUACAGCAUUCGUCCGAGUAAGGGGGAUUCCACAAGAGUCGGGUUGCUUGGAACUGCAGCCCUAAGUGAGAGAUAUGAAUCUUCCAAAGCUAAAUAUUGAUGGGAGACCGAUAGCGAACAAGUACUGUGAAGGAAAGAUGAAAAGGACUUUGAAAAGAGAGUGAAAAGAUCUGAAAUCGUUGAGAAGGAAGCGGUAGAAACUGAUGAUCGUUAUGACAAGCUACGCGGUGAACAGCCGCGCAAGUUUGACUAAGACGAUGGGCAAAAUCGAGUUGCAUGCAUCAAAAAAGGCUUUGCCUUGUAGGGUGCAGUCAGCUCGAGGGACUAUUGUGAUUUUGCCAAAAUGGUUUUUACUGU